Molecule: ribosomal RNA, 447 nt
Filed under: uncultured bacterium
Lineage: Bacteria
Description: partial 16S ribosomal RNA
Rfam family: Bacterial small subunit ribosomal RNA
Source: RNAcentral
AGCGAACGCUGGCGGCAGGCCUAACACAUGCAAGUCGAGCGCCCCGCAAGGGGAGCGGCAGACGGGAGAGUAACACGUGGGAACGUGCCCUUUGGUUCGGAACAACCCAGGGAAACUUGGGCUAAUACCGGAUAAGCCCUCACGGGGAAAGAUUUAUCGCCGAAGGAUCGGCCCGCGUCUGAUUAGCUAGUUGGUGGGGUAAUGGCCCACCAAGGCGACGAUCAGUAGCUGGUCUGAGAGGAUGAUCAGCCUCACUGGGACUGAGACACGGCCCAGACUCCUACGGGAGGCAGCAGUGGGGAAUAUUGGACAAUGGGCGCAAGCCUGAUCCAGCCAUGCCGCGUGGGUGAUGAAGGCCCUAGGGUUGUAAAGCCCUUUCGGCGGGGAAGAUAAUGACGGUACCCGCAGAAGAAGCCCCGGCUAACUUCGUGCCAGCCGCCGCAGUAA